AGUGAACGCUGGCGGUAGGCCUAACACAUGCAAGUCGAACGGCAGCACAGUAAGAGCUUGCUCUUACGGGUGGCGAGUGGCGGACGGGUGAGGAAUACAUCGGAAUCUACUUUUUCGUGGGGGAUAACGUAGGGAAACUUACGCUAAUACCGCAUACGACCUACGGGUGAAAGCAGGGGAUCUUCGGACCUUGCGCGAUUGAAUGAGCCGAUGUCGGAUUAGCUAGUUGGCGGGGUAAAGGCCCACCAAGGCGACGAUCCGUAGCUGGUCUGAGAGGAUGAGCCGCCCCACUGGAACUGAGACACGGUCCAGACUCCUACGGGAGGCAGCAGUGGGGAAUAUUGGACAAUGGGCGCAAGCCUGAUCCAGCCAUACCGCGUGGGUGAAGAAGGCCUUCGGGUUGUAAAGCCCUUUUGUUGGGAAAGAAAAGCAGCAGGUUAAUACCCCGCUGUUCUGACGGUACCCAAAGAAUAAGCACCGGCUAACUUCGUG
RNAcentral lists this ribosomal RNA (492 nucleotides) under uncultured bacterium. RNAcentral describes it as "partial 16S ribosomal RNA". It matches the Rfam family "Bacterial small subunit ribosomal RNA", at positions 29 to 507 of the family's 1533-position model. The record is from RNAcentral.